This 123-nucleotide small RNA is filed under the name Marmota monax (woodchuck). Lineage: Eukaryota; Metazoa; Chordata; Mammalia; Rodentia; Sciuridae. The record is from RNAcentral.
GCUGAGCAUGGUGGAGUAUACCUGUAAUCCCAGUGGCUCAGGAGGCUGAGGCAGGAGGUUUGCAAGUUCCAGGCCAGCCUCAACAAUUUAGGCCCUAAGCAACUUAGUGAGACCCUGUCUCAA